AAAUCCCACAAAACUCUUUCUCUCUCACAUAUCAUCGUAGCAGAGGACGACGAACCCUAAAAUUGAUCCUCGCCGCCCGCCUCCCACCGCCACCACCACCUCUAGUCGUCGACCUUCCAUCCUAUCGUCAUCAAACAUCACCGCUCCUUCGAAGAUUAUUCUCCUUCCGAUUUGGGCCCUCAAUCGAUUUUCACUCACACACAAUAAUCAAUCAGGCAGAACGUCGAUCAUAUGCGUCCAGGCCCUGGUUCUUUCUUCAUCAUCACAGUAGUCAACAGAGGAGUGUAAGGUCGAAAUCGAGUGAGUAAACAAGCCGAUAUCAUCAUCAUCAUCAACGCAGGAGGACAUCAUCAUCAUUAAGGGUUGUAAUGAUUUCAGUUUCUUUUCAAGUCGAAACAUUAAGGUUGCAAUGCCUGUUGGGAACUAUACUACAUCGAGCAUGAAAUUCAGGUACUAGUCUAUUUCUAACUAGAACUACAGUUUUGAUGUGUUAUUUGAAUGGACUAUAACUAUACACCGUCAUUAUUAGAUGUGUCAUUAGUUUUUUCACUGCUU
Molecule: long non-coding RNA, 555 nt
Organism: Helianthus annuus (common sunflower)
Lineage: Eukaryota; Viridiplantae; Streptophyta; Magnoliopsida; Asterales; Asteraceae
Exons: 3
Source: RefSeq, a predicted model, not a curated record